This 1278-nucleotide long non-coding RNA is filed under the name Sorghum bicolor (sorghum). RNAcentral's name for it is "long non-coding RNA (SBIC_LNC001854)". The record is from RNAcentral. Lineage: Eukaryota; Viridiplantae; Streptophyta; Magnoliopsida; Poales; Poaceae.
CAAUUAAACCUCUUACCCAUUCUACGAAUCAUUCGAAAGCUCGAGGGCUAGACCCAUCAAGUUUGCUCAUGUGAACCUAUUGAACUAUGAUUAUAGUAAAAUCAUUCAAAUUCGAUGACAUGAAGCAUUCGGGACACUCGGUGCACUCAUAUAGAAAGAACUCGGAUUCGUACUUCAACUAUGACUAGAUCUCCGUCCGAUUCUCAUGUGGAAGCUUAUGUGGCUAUUAUAACUGCAUGGGCCCCAUGUAUCCACACCUCAAAGGCAAUCAUCAAUCAGGAAAGGGUGGCCCAAUCCGACUACUUGGGAGGCCUAAUCGGAUUGGUACCUCAUCUACUCGAUAAAUAAGGCAUCAUAAAAUAUAUAAAUUGAAACCAACUGUAUCUGUAAAGAUCUAACUAAAUUUCCUUACCUGUGACUAUGUAUGUAACCCUACCCCGGACUACAUAAGUAGAUAAGGAGCACUUGAUUGGUAAUAAAUCCUCAACCCAUAGAUGCAUAAUUGUGAUCUGCUACUUGCAAUCGACCCUAGCUCACCGUGCACAAGCAACAAACGUCCUCAUAUUCACUAGACAGGUGUGCUACCCUUUUGAUUUUACUACCCGUGAUGCAUCGAUUAUUAGUUGGAGGAUAAAGACAAUGACAAUCUUCUUUGUGCGAAGGGCAUCGACCGACAGUUGUCAGCCCAUCUGCCUUUGCGUUCGCUUCAUCAAUAACUCUAGAAGCUGAGAUGUCUCUUGAGGAGAAUGAAAAGAUAGGCUAAAUUAUAGCAUUGCCAUUUUGCUAUCCAACGAUGGACUAGUAUUUGGUUGUUUGGUAGGACUCACAUCAAGUGCUUCUUUGGAGGAGCCGAAGCACUUGAGACUCCUGUUGCCCACUUUUCGUGGCUUUGACUUUUGGUAAAAAAAAAAAAAUUGCUCUAACUUCUCAACUGAAAACGGCUCUUUCUCCUAAAGUGUUUGGUAGAACUCCUAUAGAGAAGCUGUUAACGGAGCCUUCACAAAUAGACUCUUAGCAAGAAGGAGGUAGAGAGUCCACGAAAGAUUUUAUGAACCGCAUUGAGAAAAGCUGUAGCGAGUUGCAUAGCACUAAAAAUCUCCUGAGUCUCGUUUGCAUCUUGAGUUCGUGAGUGAGUUCACCGGAAGAAAUCAGGCCGCCGGAGAGAGUUCAAGCUGAAUGCUGAGUACGCUGCUCUGCUUGCUGUGCCUUUCUGCGUUCCUGGUGGCUGCCUGGGCAUUGCCGCUGGGCGGUGUCCACUGCUUGAGAUGGCCAGCCCGA